UGAACGCUGGCGGAAUGCUUUACACAUGCAAGUCGAACGGUAGAGGGGGCAACCCCUUGAGAGUGGCGAACGGGUGAGUAAUGUAUCGGAACGUGCCCAGUCGUGGGGGAUAACGUAGUGAAAAUUACGCUAAUACCGCAUACGAUCUAUGGAUGAAAGCGGGGGAUCGCAAGACCUCGCGCGAUUGGAGCGGCCGAUAUCAGAUUAGGUAGUUGGUAGGGUAAAGGCCUACCAAGCCAACGAUCUGUAGCUGGUCUGAGAGGACGACCAGCCACACUGGAACUGAGACACGGUCCAGACUCCUACGGGAGGCAGCAGUGGGGAAUUUUGGACAAUGGGCGAAAGCCUGAUCCAGCCAUUCCGCGUGCAGGAUGAAGGCCUUAGGGUUGUAAAGCUCUUUUACCAGGGAUGAUAAUGACAGUACCUGGAGAAUAAGCUCCGGCUAACUCCGCGCCAGCAGCCGCGGUAAUCU
This 472-nucleotide ribosomal RNA is filed under the name uncultured bacterium. Its description in RNAcentral is "bacterial SSU rRNA". It matches the Rfam family "Bacterial small subunit ribosomal RNA", at positions 30 to 526 of the family's 1533-position model. The record is from RNAcentral.